This 161-nucleotide ribosomal RNA is filed under the name uncultured eukaryote. Its description in RNAcentral is "partial small subunit ribosomal RNA". It matches the Rfam family "Eukaryotic small subunit ribosomal RNA", at positions 1296 to 1461 of the family's 1831-position model. The record is from RNAcentral.
AGUUGGUGGAUUACUUUGUCUGGUUAAUUCCGAUAACGAACGAGACCUUAACCUGCUAAAUAGUCAUGUCUAUACUCGUCUUUGUGGCGGUGUAUAGAUAGAUGUACUUCUUAGAGGGACUAUCUGUGUUUAACAGAUGGAAGUUUGAGGCAAUAACAGGU